This 112-nucleotide ribosomal RNA is filed under the name Jaculus jaculus (lesser Egyptian jerboa). The record is from RNAcentral. Lineage: Eukaryota; Metazoa; Chordata; Mammalia; Rodentia; Dipodidae.
GUCCACAGUCUUGCCACCCUGAAUGCUCCCAGUCUCUUCUGACUUCGGAAGCUCAGUGAGAUUGGGCCUCAAGUAGUACUUGGAUGGGAGAAACUGACAUUUGAGGUGGAGA